RNAcentral lists this ribosomal RNA (406 nucleotides) under uncultured bacterium. RNAcentral's name for it is "partial 16S ribosomal RNA". It matches the Rfam family "Bacterial small subunit ribosomal RNA", at positions 30 to 526 of the family's 1533-position model. The record is from RNAcentral.
AUUGAACGCUGGCGGCAGGCCUAACACAUGCAAGUCGAGCGAGCGGCGGACGGGUGAGUAAUGUAUGGGGAUCUGCCCGAUAGAGGGGGAUAACUACUGGAAACGGUGGCUAAUACCGCAUACCAUCGGAUGUGCCCAGAUGGGAUUAGCUAGUAGGUGGGGUAACGGCUCACCUAGGCGACGAUCCCUAGCUGGUCUGAGAGGAUGACCAGCAACACUGGAACUGAGACACGUUCCAGACUCCUACGGGAGGCAGCAGUGGGGAAUAUUGCACAAUGGGCGAAAGCCUGAUGCAGCCAUGCCGAGUGUAGGAAGAAGGCCUUCGGGUUGUAAAGUACUUUCAGCGAGGAGGCGUUACUCGCAGAAGAAGCACCGGCUAACUCCGUGCCAGCAGCCGCGGUAAUUC